UAGACUGCACGUGAAUCAUCGAAUCUUUGAACGCAUAUUGCACCCGACAGGCUCGCUUGUCGGGUCUGCCUGUUUGAGUAUCAGAUCGGACCCAGCAGCCGACGACGGGGGCGUGGAACAGGGUUUUGCGACUCUGCUUUGCGCAUCCGCGUCGACUAGCCGGUGCUCGCUGCGCAGCAAUGUGCGGCGGAAAUGGGGUUUUGGGGGCGCGCUCGCGCAACCCCAUUCCCUGAAAUGUAUUGGCCGACCGGCGCAUCCUCGAUGUCGCGGCGCUUGGACUGCGGGCCGGUUUAGUCAAUGUUAAUCAUCCGCAAGGGUGGUCUUUGUUAAGUUGCCGGGUUAUUCAACGAGCGUGGCGCGAUGUCCAACCGACCACCCUUGCAAAUGCACGAAAGUAGUGUGCGCAAACCGCAGCGCGGGAAACCGCGUUUGCACCCACCAACUUGAUCUCAAAUCAGGCAGGAUGACCCGCUGAAUUUAAGCAUAUCAAUAAGCGGAGG
This 500-nucleotide ribosomal RNA is filed under the name uncultured Glomerales. Its description in RNAcentral is "eukaryotic LSU rRNA". The stretch from base 445 to 500 matches the Rfam family "Eukaryotic large subunit ribosomal RNA", at positions 1 to 56 of the family's 3401-position model. Lineage: Eukaryota; Fungi; Glomeromycota; Glomeromycetes; Glomerales; Glomeraceae. The record is from RNAcentral.